AUAUCAUGGCAGGCUCAGGAAGCUGUCAGUGUAAAAAUCAAACAUGAUAAAGAAACCUUGAAAACUAUCAGCAGGGUUGUUUUUGACGCGAGGAUGCACUCAUUAUUGCUACAUUUCAGAAGCUGACUCUUUAAACAGUCUUUACAGAUGAGUAGGGUACCUUACAGUGCUCCAAAUGAUUGGACUCCAGGUAAAACUCAGAGAAUUCAGGAGGGAAGGUCAUUGCUGGGCAGGGAGGGCAUUUCUGGGAAAUCCAGAUGAGAGUGCUGUGAGCACAGGCUGUGUCAAAACCGCUCGGCAAGGGCUCCCUCCCUCUCUCCUGGUGGGAAGGCCACCCUGAGCCCCAAACCACGUUCUCCUCCUCCCCCCGCCCCAUCAUUCUGCAGACAAGGGUCAUCCACAGACCACACGUGUGGUGGCUUUGGCAACCAGAAAUUAAAAAUAAGCUAUGGUUUUUCCAGUAGCCAAAAUGAUCCUUCAAAGCUCACAGACUGAGAACUUGAGCAUACAAAACCACAGUCUGGGUGAAGGGAUGUCUGCUUUUCAAAUGACCUGCUAAUUCUUUGCAACCCACAGUAAUUUGGUUUCUGUGAACUCACAGAAGCGGUCCUACCAAAAAGGGCCUUGUCUGCUAACCUGGAAAAGUCCUUGUAUGAAUGAGUCACUGGCAAUGGGAUCAGUCAUUUUUCAGGCUGCCUCAUUUUCCUAACAUGUUAAAGUGUUUCUUCUCAGUCUUUUUAGGAGAGGGGUAAGCAAAGCUGCAGUUACGUUCAGAGUAUGGAGUAGGCCCCACAGAUGCACCGAAUCGGCUUGGGAGAAGGUGGGUGGCAUCAUGGGACUGCUCUCCAGGCUUUCUAGAGGGAGGUCAAUGGAAAGAUGGACAGUGAAGACCAUUUCAGGAAACUCUAAGUUGCUUGGGAAAUUAAUGGUUGAGGGCUCAUAGGACAGUAGGGGAGCAAAACUAUUCUACUUCCCUGGCUGCAAAGCCGUGAAGUAUCUGUAGCAUGUGGUUAACUCACAUUGGUUCUAAGGCUCAGCAUGUUCUCUACUCUUAUGCAUUAAAAAAAAAUGAAGGAAACUGUGUGUUAGAGAUCAGUUGCCUCCACUGGCAGCUGAAUGACUCUUAUGGUCCUAGUAUGGUCUUGAAUAUUUUCCAUGUCUUUAAAUCUAAAUACAGUAUAUAUAGUGGAAAAUUUGCAACCAUCCAACAUAAUUUCCCCCCUCCCCCCUCAAAAAACAUAACGUUACUCAAUAGACAAAAUUACAUAAAACCUCACAACAUCCUUGGGAGGUAGACAUUGUUAUGACCUUACAUUGUUUAAUGAAAACAUUAACAUUCUAGUUUCAAAUAACAACUUAAUAUCAAUGUAUAAGACAGUCCACUAUUGUAAUAGUCAGAGGAAACUUGCAUCUAACUUCUUCAAAGUGCAAAGACCUUUUUAUCAUAUUGUUGGCAUGCUGGGGUCCAGACUAUAUACAGCUUGGGUACACAGAGGUACAGUCUUGUGUUAAGAACUCAGAAAAGUGUAAAGCCUACACCUCUCUUCUAGGCUCUUGCAAGUCCACAGUCCUUAGAGGCAGCAGUCCCCAGCCCUGGGUUCGUGAUCCUUCUCAGAACCGUUCAGUCUUUCGGCCUUAGAGAACAGAGUGCUAUUGCUAGGAUGGCUCAGGUUUAACCUUUGGUUUCAGGUCAAAAUUGUCCUCUUUACAGGCACUUAAAUCCCAAAUCAUUCUGCUUUUCUGAACUCUGCUUAUAGCGAUUCUCUGAACUAUACUUCUGUUUGAGCACAAAAACAGCUCCCGAUUCUUUAAAAGAUGAGAUAUCACUGUAGAUCUCUUCUCUUCUGCACAGCCUGAUGCUAUUUUCUAGGACAAAAUUUUCGUCACUCCAUUUUCUUUUCUCUCCUUGAGCUCACAAGUCCUAAUUCUGAGUCUUUGUGAAAGAACUUGGACAUCACUGAGGACUCAAAUCUUGUGUCCUGGAGUCUCUUUUAUUUUUGAGGAAGAUUAGCCCUGAGAUAACACCUGCUGUCAAUCCUCCUCUUUUUGUUGAGGAAGACUGGCCCUGAGCUAACAUCCGUGCCCAUGUUCCUCCACUUUAUAUGUGGGAUGCCUGCCACAGCAUGGCUUGUCAAGCGGUGCCAAGUCCGCACCCGAGAUCCAAACCGGCGAACCCCGGGCCACCGAAGCGGAAUGUGCGAACUUAACUGUUGCAUCAUUGGGCUGGCCCCCCCGGAGUUUCCAAAUCUCCACUAGAGACCUAUUCUCAGUGGGAUAUACUUUAAAGCUAGGACUUAAAAAAUUUAACAUUUAACAUAUCCAUUACGGUCUUAUUGCCUGCCCUGGGAUAUAUAUCAGAAGUACUGCUUUUUCCCUUAAAAUAUUCUAAACCUCCCAUUUAGCCGGGGGGGGGGGGGGGGGGAGGGAGGGAGGAGGGGUGUAUAAAAAAG
This is a long non-coding RNA of Equus asinus (donkey), 2450 nucleotides long. NCBI's taxonomy places the organism in Eukaryota, Metazoa, Chordata, Mammalia, Perissodactyla, Equidae. The record is from Ensembl.